Molecule: unclassified non-coding RNA, 283 nt
Organism: Ursus americanus (American black bear)
Lineage: Eukaryota; Metazoa; Chordata; Mammalia; Carnivora; Ursidae
Gene: 7SK
Rfam family: 7SK RNA
About the family: 7SK was discovered as an abundant small nuclear RNA in the mid-70s but a possible function has only recently been suggested. Two independent studies have found that 7SK RNA binds the CDK9/cyclin T complex (known as elongation factor P-TEFb). P-TEFb activates transcription by phosphorylating the C-terminal domain of RNA polymerase II.
Source: Ensembl
AGAUCUGAGGGGAUCUGGCUGCCUAGGCAGAUGUCCCCUUCCUCCCUCACCAUUCCAUGUGCAUCCCUCCCAAAGCUGUUUUUCUCAGUUGAAGAGGAUGACCUUCCCUGAUAUAGGAGGAGCAUUCUUCUUAGGUCAAGGGUAUAUAAGUAGCUGUGCUGCCCUGCUUGAACCUCCAAACAAGCUCUCAGGGUCCAUUCAUAGGAGAACUUAGGGUAGUUGAGUUUCCAAGACUCCAGAUACAUCCAAAUGAGGUGCUGCAUGAGGCAGUCUGCAUUUCUCA